UACGAGAGGCCCAAACAUUAUUCGGAAUUACUGGGCUUAAAGAGUUCGUAGGCGGCAUGGUAAGUAGGGUGUGAAAUCCCUCGGCUCAACCGAGGAAUUGCGCUCUAAACUACCGUGAUAGAGGAAGCUAGAGGUGAGCGGAACUGAUGGUGGAGCGGUGAAAUGCGUUGAUAUCAUCAGGAACACCGGAGGCGAAGGCGGCUCACUGGGGCUUUUCUGACGCUGAGGAACGAAAGCCAGGGUAGCGAACGGG
This 253-nucleotide ribosomal RNA is filed under the name uncultured bacterium. Its description in RNAcentral is "partial 16S ribosomal RNA". It matches the Rfam family "Bacterial small subunit ribosomal RNA", at positions 524 to 776 of the family's 1533-position model. The record is from RNAcentral.